CGCGUGGGAAUAUGCCCUUCUCUAAGGAAUAGCCUCUGGAAACGGAGAGUAAUACCUUAUACGCCCUUUGGGAAGGAUUAUCGAGAGAUAGCCGCGUAGAUAGUAGUGUGGGUAAGUGCCUACCAAGCUACGAUCUAUAGCUGGUUUGAGAGGAUGAUCAGCCACACUGGGGACUGAGACACGGCCCAGACUCCUACGGGAGGGCAGCAGUAGGGAAUCAUCCGCAAUGGGCGAAAGACCUGACGGUGCAACGCCGCGUGAGUGAUGAAGGUUUUCGGUAUCGUAAAGACUCUGUUGACA
This 300-nucleotide ribosomal RNA is filed under the name uncultured bacterium. Its description in RNAcentral is "bacterial SSU rRNA". It matches the Rfam family "Bacterial small subunit ribosomal RNA", at positions 116 to 441 of the family's 1533-position model. The record is from RNAcentral.